RNAcentral lists this ribosomal RNA (1403 nucleotides) under Ahnfeltia fastigiata. RNAcentral's name for it is "bacterial SSU rRNA". It matches the Rfam family "Bacterial small subunit ribosomal RNA". The record is from RNAcentral. Lineage: Eukaryota; Rhodophyta; Florideophyceae; Ahnfeltiales; Ahnfeltiaceae.
AAACAUAUAAACAAGAGUUUGAUCCUGGCUCAGAAUGAACGUUAGUGGUUAGCUUAACACAUGCAAGUUAGAUGGGUUUAAUAUUUUAAACCAAAUAGCGAACGGGUGAGUAACGCGUAGAAAUUAACCUUAAAGUCUAUUAGUAAAUCUUUUAAAAAUUUAUUUGCUUUGAGAAGAGUCUACGUAAGAUUAAGUAGUUGGUAGAAUAAAAGUUUACCAAGCUUACGAUCUUUAGUUGGUCUGUGAGGAUGAACAACCACAUUGGAACUGAGAAACGGUCCAAACUCAAUUAAGGAGGCAGCAGUGAGGAAUUUUGGGCGAUGAGCGAAAGCUUGACCCAGCUAAACCACGUGUGUGACGAAGAUAUUUAAUUGUAAAGCACUUUAUUUAAAACAUAAUAAUGAUAGUUUUUUAAAAAAGUCCUGGCUAAUUUCGUGCCAGCAGCCGCGGUAAAACGAAAAGGGCAAACGUUAUUCAGAUUAAUUGGGCGUAAAGAAUACGUAGGUGGAAAAUUAACUAACAACCUAAAAAUUAAAUUUCAUUUUUAAAAAGGUUAUUAAAGUAAUUUUCUUGAGUUCAGGGGAGGAAUAUGGAAUUUUGAGUGUAACGGUAAAAUGUUUUGAUAUUCAAAGGAACUUCAACAGCGUAGGCAAUAUUCUAAACUGACACUGACACUGAGGUAUUAAAGCGUGGGUAGCAAAGGGGAUUAGAUACCCCCGUAGUCCACGCCUUCAACGAUGAGUGUUUAUUUUUGGAUUUAUUUCAGAAAUAUAGUUAACGUAUUUAACACUCCGCCUGGGAACUACGAUCGCAAGAUUAAAACUCAAAGGAAUUGACGGGGACCUGCACAAGCAGUGGAGCAUGUGGUUUAAAUCGACAAUACGCGCGAAACCUUACCAAUUUUUGUAUAAUACAAUAAAAGUAUUACAGGUGUUGCAUGGCUGUCGUCAGUCCGUGCCGUGAGGCGUUUGGUUCAUUCCAACAAACGGACGAAACUCCUAUGUAUUUGUAACGUAAUACAAACUGCCAAGGAUAUCUUGGAGGAAGGAAGGAAUGACGUCAAGUCCGCAUGACCCUAAUGAAUUGGGCUACUUUCAUGUGCUACAAUAGUAUUUCCAAAAAGAAGCAAAAACGUGAGUUUAAGCAAAUCUUUAAAAAUUACUUUGUUCGGAUUGUUUUCUGCAACUCGAAAACAUGAAGUUGGAAUUGCUAGUAAUCGUAGAUUAGAAUGCUACGGUGAAUUUGUUCUCAGGUCUUGUACACACCGCCCGUCACGCUAUGGGAAUUCUUUUCAUUUGAAGAUUUUUAACAAAAUUUAUGGUGAAUGAAAGACUGAAGUGAAGUCGUAACAAGGUAGCCGUAGGGGAACCUGUGGCUGGAAAAUACAAAUAAAUUUUCUACUA